CGGGUGCUUGCACCUGGUGGCGAGUGGCGAACGGGUGAGUAAUACAUCGGAACAUGUCCUGUAGUGGGGGAUAGCCCGGCGAAAGCCGGAUUAAUACCGCAUACGAUCUACGGAUGAAAGCGGGGGACCUUCGGGCCUCGCGCUAUAGGGUUGGCCGAUGGCUGAUUAGCUAGUUGGUGGGGUAAAGGCCUACCAAGGCGACGAUCAGUAGCUGGUCUGAGAGGACGACCAGCCACACUGGGACUGAGACACGGCCCAGACUCCUACGGGAGGCAGCAGUGGGGAAUUUUGGACAAUGGGCGAAAGCCUGAUCCAGCAAUGCCGCGUGUGUGAAGAAGGCCUUCGGGUUGUAAAGCACUUUUGUCCGGAAAGAAAUCCUUGGUUCUAAUAUAGCCGGGGGAUGACGGUACCGGAAGAAUAAGCACCGGCUAACUACGUGCCAGCAGCCGCGGUAAUACGUAGGGUGCGAGCGUUAAUCGGAAUUACUGGGCGUAAAGCGUGCGCAGGCGGUUUGCUAAGACCGAUGUGAAAUCCCCGGGCUCAACCUGGGAACUGCAUUGGUGACUGGCAGGCUAGAGUAUGGCAGAGGGGGGUAGAAUUCCACGUGUAGCAGUGAAAUGCGUAGAGAUGUGGAGGAAUACCGAUGGCGAAGGCAGCCCCCUGGGCCAAUACUGACGCUCAUGCACGAAAGCGUGGGGAGCAAACAGGAUUAGAUACCCUGGUAGUCCACGCCCUAAACGAUGUCAACUAGUUGUUGGGGAUUCAUUUCCUUAGUAACGUACCUAACGCGUGAAGUUGACCGCCUGGGGAGUACGGUCGCAAGAUUAAAACUCACAGGAAUUGACGGGGACCCGCACAAGCGGUGGAUGAUGUGGAUUAAUUCGAUGCAACGCGAAAAACCUUACCUACCCUUGACAUGGUCGGAAUCCCGCUGAGAGGUGGGAGUGCUCGAAAAACAACCGGCCCACAAGUGCUGCAUGGCUGUCGUCAGCUCGUGUCGU
RNAcentral lists this ribosomal RNA (1001 nucleotides) under Burkholderia lata. RNAcentral's name for it is "bacterial SSU rRNA". It matches the Rfam family "Bacterial small subunit ribosomal RNA", at positions 73 to 1068 of the family's 1533-position model. The record is from RNAcentral. Lineage: Bacteria; Pseudomonadati; Pseudomonadota; Betaproteobacteria; Burkholderiales; Burkholderiaceae.